This 433-nucleotide ribosomal RNA is filed under the name uncultured bacterium. Its description in RNAcentral is "partial 16S ribosomal RNA". It matches the Rfam family "Bacterial small subunit ribosomal RNA", at positions 28 to 507 of the family's 1533-position model. The record is from RNAcentral.
GACGAACGCUGGCGGCGUGCUUAACACAUGCAAGUCGAACGGAACGUCCCUGCUUUGGUGGGGUGGUCGGGUGGCGAACGGGUAAGCAACACGUGAGUAACCUGCAAUUGACUGUGGGGUAACUUAAUGAAACUGGAGCUAAUAGCGGCAAGGAUUUAUCGCUGUUGGAUGGGGGCGGGUUGGAUUCGCUAGUUGGUAGGGUAAAAGCCUACCAUCGCGACGAUCCAUAGCUGGUCUGAGAGGAUGGUCAGCCACACUGGGACUGAGACACGGCCCAGACUCCUACGGGAGGCAGCAGUGGGGAAUAUUGGACAAUGGGCGAAAGCCUGAUCCAGCAAUGCCGCGUGAGUGAUGAAGGCCUUAGGGUUGUAAAGCUCUUUUACCCGGGAUGAUAAUGACAGUACCGGGAGAAUAAGCUCCGGCUAACUCCGUG